RNAcentral lists this long non-coding RNA (235 nucleotides) under Lathyrus oleraceus (garden pea). RNAcentral describes it as "Pisum sativum (pea) long non-coding RNA (PSAT_LNC003444)". Lineage: Eukaryota; Viridiplantae; Streptophyta; Magnoliopsida; Fabales; Fabaceae. The record is from RNAcentral.
UAUGAGUAUUUCAUGAUAAAAAUGGCAACAUGUACAAAAAUGUGACACAUCAAACAAUGUCUAAGCAUUUUAUUUUUCUACACAUGCAAAAAAUUCCAAAAAAUAUCCAUUAAAUUCUACACAUUCUCAUGAGAAUAAUGCAAAAAAUCUCACAAAAAUUGGAUGAUUUUUGAGUGAGUUAUCAAUUUUCUAAGUUGUGGUAACAAAAUUGAAAAUGAAAUGAAAAAGAAAUUAA